UGGGCGAUGGUGUAACGGUAGCACAGCAGAUUUUGGUUCUGCUUGUCCUGGUUCGAAUCCAGGUCGCCCAG
Molecule: transfer RNA, 71 nt
Filed under: Phycisphaerales bacterium
Lineage: Bacteria; Pseudomonadati; Planctomycetota; Phycisphaerae; Phycisphaerales
Also listed under: 2 other names
Description: tRNA-Gln
Rfam family: tRNA
About the family: Transfer RNA (tRNA) molecules are approximately 80 nucleotides in length. Their secondary structure includes four short double-helical elements and three loops (D, anti-codon, and T loops).
Source: RNAcentral